Molecule: ribosomal RNA, 491 nt
Filed under: uncultured bacterium
Lineage: Bacteria
Description: partial 16S ribosomal RNA
Rfam family: Bacterial small subunit ribosomal RNA
Source: RNAcentral
GAUGAACGCUAGCUACAGGCUUAACACAUGCAAGUCGAGGGGAAACGCCAUCGAAAGCUUGCUUUUGAUGGGCGUCGACCGGCGCACGGGUGAGUAACGCGUAUCCCACCUUCCCACCACUUGGGGAUAACCUUGCGAAAGUAAGACUAAUACCCAAUGACGUCUCUAGAAGACAUCUGAACUAGAUUACAGAUUUAUCGGUGAUGGAUGGGGAUGCGUCUGAUUAGCUUGUUGGCGGGGUAACGGCCCACCAAGGCGACGAUCAGGAGGGGUUCUGAGAGGAAGGACCCCGACAUUGGAACUGAGACACGGUCCAAACGCCUACGGGAGGCAGGAGUGAGGAAUAAUGGUGAAUGGACGAGAGUCUGAAACAGCCAAGGAGCGUGCAGGAUGACGGCCCUAUGGGUUGUAAAUUGCGUGUAUAAGGGAAUAAAGGGAGUCUCGUGAGAGUUUUGGCAUGUACCUGAGGAAGAAGGACCGGCUAAUUCCGU